AACGCACAUUGCGCCCCUUGGUAUUCCGGGGGGCAUGCCUGUUCGAGCGUCAUUUCAACCCUCAAGCACUGCUUGGUAUUUGGGCCCCGCCGGCAACGGCAGGCCCUAAAAUCAGUGGCGGCGCCGCUGGGCCCUGAGCGUAGUAAUUCUCUCGCUACAGGGUCCCCGCGUGCUCCCGCCAGCAACCCCAAUUUUCUAUGGUUGACCUCGGAUCAGGUAGGGAUACCCGCUGAACUUAA
Molecule: unclassified non-coding RNA, 239 nt
Filed under: Hyphodontia sp.
Lineage: Eukaryota; Fungi; Basidiomycota; Agaricomycetes; Hymenochaetales; Schizoporaceae
Description: partial contains 5.8S ribosomal RNA, internal transcribed spacer 2, and large subunit ribosomal RNA
Source: RNAcentral